This 1023-nucleotide long non-coding RNA is filed under the name Manacus vitellinus (golden-collared manakin). RNAcentral describes it as "lncRNA (ENSMVIG00005009400.1)". Lineage: Eukaryota; Metazoa; Chordata; Aves; Passeriformes; Pipridae. The record is from RNAcentral.
AUGGUGUUAAAAAGUCUUAAAGAACCUUUGCCUUGGGAUCCUCAGGAGUUAAACCUACUGGAUAGUCGACCAUCAAAUGGUUCAGGAUGUGUCUUUUUUGGAUCGUACAAUUUAACAGAAAAGAAAAGACGUACCUGGUUAACACCUCACAAAAAUUACAACACGUCCCAGUAUUGUUCUCCUGAUCGCGUUUAUGGAUGGGGUUCAGGCCACAUUCACCUUAAUUAUUCCUAUGCUACCUCCUUGCCACAUCAAAUAUACCUUAUCUGUGGUGAUAGAGCGUGGCAAGGCAUCCCCAAAGAAGCUCAUGGGGGAGCUUGUUAUCUUGGAAAACUUGCUCUCCUAGCACCUUCUAAAGAGCAAUGGCAAACCAUACUGUAUGGCAAAACACAAAGAGCUCGUAGAAGUCUCGAACAAUUGUCCUCAGACUGUUCUGAUGAGGUAAGCUUGUGGGGAACCACAGCUCAAGUGUUUGCUGCCAUAAUUCCCCAAAUCGCAGCAGAGGAAGCGUUGACCCAAUUACAACACCUUGCGUGUUGGACUGCUAAACAAGCUAAUGUCACCACUAAUGUACUUUCCCAAUUGGCACAAGAUAUGAGCAGCAUGCGCAAGGCUGUGCUCCAAAAUCGAGCUGCCAUCGAUUACUUGCUAUUGGUACAAGGAAAAGGUUGUGAGGAAUACCAAGGACUCUGCUGUUUUAAUCUCUCAGAUCACUCAGAGUCCAUCCAGGAGCAAUUGAAGUGGUUGAAAGAACAUACAAAAAGGAUCACUGUGAGCACAAAUCCUUUGGACGAUUGGUUACUAUCAUUAGGUUUAUCUGCAUGGGUCAAGGAUGUUUUGAAAUGGAUAUGUAUCAUUGUAUUAAUUUUUGGAAUUGUACUCUGUAUGGCUCCUUGUAUUAUUCAGUGCUUUGCUAGCAGAAUUCAUAGUAUGGCUGAUGCAGUUUUUGAUAAGAGAGGGGGAGAUGUUGCGGGAUUAACAGGCGCUGUAAUGUGGAAGCCAUUCUUCAAGAAGAUGUCGUGA